This 506-nucleotide ribosomal RNA is filed under the name uncultured bacterium. Its description in RNAcentral is "partial 16S ribosomal RNA". It matches the Rfam family "Bacterial small subunit ribosomal RNA", at positions 28 to 523 of the family's 1533-position model. The record is from RNAcentral.
GAUGAACGCUAGCGGCAGGCCUAACACAUGCAAGUCGAGGGGUAACUAGAGUGAUAGCAAUAUUACUUUGGCUAGACCGGCGCACGGGUGCGUAACACGUAUGCAACCUACCUUAUACUGGGGAAUAACUUCGAGAAAUCGGCGCUAAUACCCCAUAACACUGCGGAGAGGCAUCUCUUUGCAGUUAAAGCUCCGGCGGUAUAAGAUGGGCAUGCGUUCAAUUAGCUAGUUGGUGAGGUAACGGCUCACCAAGGCUACGAUUGGUAGGGGUUCUGAGAGGAUGAUCCCCCACACUGGUACUGAGACACGGACCAGACUCCUACGGGAGGCAGCAGUGAGGAAUAUUGCGCAAUGGACGAAAGUCUGACGCAGCCAUGCCGCGUGCAGGAUGACGGCCCUAUGGGUUGUAAACUGCUUUUGUACGGGAAUAAACCCUUCUACGUGUAGGAGGCUGAAGGUACCGUAAGAAUAAGCACCGGCUAACUCCGUGCCAGCAGCCGCAGUAA